GACGAACGCUGGCGGCGUGCUUAACACAUGCAAGUCGAACGGAAAGGCCCUGCUUUUGUGGGGUGCUCGAGUGGCGAACGGGUGAGUAACACGUGAGUAACCUGCCCUUGACUUUGGGAUAACUUCAGGAAACUGGGGCUAAUACCGGAUAGGAGCUCCUGUUGCAUGGUGGGGGUUGGAAAGUUUCGGCGGUUGUGGAUGGACUCGCGGCUUAUCAGCUUGUUGGUGGGGUAGUGGCUUACCAAGGCUUUGACGGGUAGCCGGCCUGAGAGGGUGACCGGCCACAUUGGGACUGAGAUACGGCCCAGACGCCUACGGGAGGCAGCAGUGGGGAAUAUUGCACAAUGGGCGGAAGCCGGAUGCAGCAACGCCGCGUGCGGGAUGACGGCCUUCGGGUUGUAAACCGCUUUCGCCUGUGACGAAGCGUGAGUGACGGUAAUGGGUAAAGAAGCACCGGCUAACUACGUG
RNAcentral lists this ribosomal RNA (468 nucleotides) under uncultured bacterium. RNAcentral describes it as "partial 16S ribosomal RNA". It matches the Rfam family "Bacterial small subunit ribosomal RNA", at positions 28 to 507 of the family's 1533-position model. The record is from RNAcentral.